GUCUCCUCGGGAAUCACGUGGAGUCGGUGAUCUUCCCAGUGGGUGUACGCAUUUAAACGGGGGCAAAGGCAUGUCCAAAGGUAGCUAAAUUACUGGACCAGUAAUUCUGGUUCAUACAUUAAAAAGUGAAGGGGCUGACGAGUCUCUAACUGUCUCUAUUUACGUACUCGUUGGAAUUUUAGUUGGAAGUGCAAACGCUUUCUUGGGUGAGAAAGACGAGAAGACCCUAUGAAGUUUAUCUAGUGAACCCUGGGGAGGGCUUCGUGCUCAGGCUAUCUUGGGGGUGGCUUUUGCUGGGGCAGCAGGAGAGCAGGUUAGACUCUACCGCUGACAUAAAAAGCUGGUAUGCUCGAUCCACUAAAGGUAAGGGGGCCGAUCAGGAGAAAGAGUUACUCUAGGGAUAACAGCGUAAUUUUGCCCAUUGAGAUCUUAUCAUUGGGCAAGGUUGCGACCUCGAUGUUGGCUCUGGGUAUCCAUGAACUUGCAGGAGGUUCAAAUGGUUGGUUUGUUCGCCCAUUAAAACUCGACGUGAUUGAGUUCAGACCGGA
Molecule: ribosomal RNA, 548 nt
Filed under: Spondylus gaederopus
Lineage: Eukaryota; Metazoa; Mollusca; Bivalvia; Pectinida; Spondylidae
Description: partial 16S ribosomal RNA
Rfam family: Bacterial large subunit ribosomal RNA
Source: RNAcentral